Leopardus geoffroyi (Geoffroy's cat) is the source of this 1950-nucleotide long non-coding RNA. RefSeq lists it as uncharacterized. The transcript is spliced from 5 exons. The record is from RefSeq and is a predicted model, not a curated record. Lineage: Eukaryota; Metazoa; Chordata; Mammalia; Carnivora; Felidae.
GCCGGUCGCGGGCCUAGCUGAGCAGGCACUGUGCUUCUGAAGAGCAGCCACCUACUGUCAGGCCUGGAGCGACGGCGUGCAUGACGGCUAAGUGGCCCCUCGGCCUCGGAGAGUCCGAGCUUUUUCGCGCCCGCGCCUUCGCGUUCCAACUUGGAAGCCACACAGCCAGCCUUGUAAACCAGGGGGCGGGGCAGUGCCGCAGGAGGGCGGGUCCGGGGGCGGAGCGGUAGCGCUCGCGCGCGCUCUCCACCAAUCAGGAGGAUUCGGGAGGGCCUGCGGAGCGUGACGUGAUCUGCAAGGCCGAGGGGGCGACCUGCGGCCUACAGAGCCUCGCCUGCCCGCGCGGGGUUGCGCGCGCACUCCGGGCCUCGUAGGCACGUUCAACCCCGUCGUGACUUAAAAGACGUGACGCUAGUAGGUCCUUUCUCGCUCCCCCGAACCUCCCGGAGCUGGUGACAGCCAGGUGGCGUGCGCACCGAGGGAACCAGCGAGCCUCUCCAAAGUUUUCAAGUACACUCCCGGAAGCCCUCUGGCGGGGGGGGGGGGGGGGGGGGGCAACCGGCCCACCUAACCAGUUUCUGCGCCAGGUGGAGCGCAGUGAGGGUCUCGGUGUGGGAGACCUGUCCCCGGGACAGGGCUCUUGUGGCCAGGCAGGAGGGAAGGCACUUCAGGAGAGCUGCUAUAAGAGGUAGUCGGGGCCGUCUGUGGUUGUGCUGUGCCCCCAAAUCCAAGACCUCCAGUGACAUCCUGGCUCUCUGUGCGUGUGGAUGGGUCCUGUGCCGGUUGUCUUGCCUUGUGUUCCUUUGCAGUUCCCUGGAAUGGAUUGGACGGAGUGAAGCGUGCAGAAUCUGUGUUCUCUUUCCCCACAAAUGUCAGAAUUGGGUCUUCCCUUGUCCAGCUGGCUCUUGGGGAGGGGUGGCAUUUCCUGGGGUGUAGAAGAUUGCCUGAAGGAGAGCCCAAGGUGGCUGUAGGCAGGACAUGGGAUCAGAGAGGCCGAGAGGCUCGCCCAGUCACACAGCCAGAGAGGAGUUGAGAUGGCAAUGGUGUCCCUCAUGUCUGGGCUUCCUUCUGUCCAAGAAACAGCUGCUUGAGAUUACAGGGCAAGGAAUUGCCAGAAGAGUUUGAAGAUCUGGAUCCCGUGCCUAAAAUAGUAUGGCUCAGAAGGGCCUAAGAAGAGAGCUUGGGGCAUUGCUGGCACUUGGUAAAUAUUUGUUCAAUGAAUGGAUUUUUAUAGAUGGGAAACAAGAAAUGACCAAAAUGUGUUCUCUCUUCAGGAGACCACUGAAAACCAGCACAUAUGGGUGGGCAUCAAACAACAAGCAAAUUUUAACAUUCUCGGUGGGCAAAAUACUGGUGUUUUGAAUCAGUGUGCUACAGCUCAAGGUCAUGUAUUCAAAGUAGAAGAAUAUUAACUUUCAAAAAACUUUAGCACAAACCACCUGGGAAUAAUGAUACUUGUGUGCAAUGAAAAGAAGUUUUAGCACAUGCGCACAGACCCGGAAAAGAAUCUCCAUGAAACAAUGUAAGGUGUUUAGAAUCAGAUUAUGCCUCUGUUACUUUUCUAAGACAGGUUUCCAAUGAUUUUCCUAGUAACUGAGAUGACAUUAUAGAGAAAAUGUUGCCAAGAGCCACCCGUUGACUUGGUUGUGGCAUUUCCUCCAUUGUUACAAAGUUGAAGAGUGAGUCUCCACCAUGCUAUAGCUUUGCAGGAGGAGUGGGGGAAAUACGUUACAAAACCGCACAGAGAAUGGCCCCACUUCAGUAAGGAUCGAGUUACCCGCGUCAUCCUAAUUUUCCCUUUCUCUACUGUCCGGCAACUUGAAAUGAAUGCCUAUGUUAAAAAUUGCCUUUAUAUUAACAUUAACAACUCAGGCAACAACAGAUGUUGGCGAGGAUGCGGAGAAAGACUAUGUCUUUUGCACUGCUGGUGGGAAUGCAAACUGGUGCAGA